CAUCAUGUCCUAUUAAAGGAGAUUUCAUAUACUUGCUGUGAUAUUCUAGCUCGAAUUUGGUGCUGCUGUGUUGGAAUUAAAGGAGGUGCAAAGAAGGUCAUCAUCUCAGCCCCUAGCAAGGAUGCUACUGAAAUUCUACUUUAUUACAAAUGAUUGUCCUAGGAUGGAAAAACUAGAGUGGAGUAGUUCAAGCAAAGCAAUUACAUUGCUCAUAAAUAC
This is a long non-coding RNA of Alnus glutinosa, 219 nucleotides long. RefSeq lists it as uncharacterized. Lineage: Eukaryota; Viridiplantae; Streptophyta; Magnoliopsida; Fagales; Betulaceae. The transcript has 3 exons. The record is from RefSeq and is a predicted model, not a curated record.